RNAcentral lists this ribosomal RNA (408 nucleotides) under uncultured bacterium. Its description in RNAcentral is "partial 16S ribosomal RNA". It matches the Rfam family "Bacterial small subunit ribosomal RNA", at positions 28 to 526 of the family's 1533-position model. The record is from RNAcentral.
GACGAACGCUGGCGGCGUGCCUAAUACAUGCAAGUCGACCUUAGUGGCGAACGGGUGAGUCACCCGUGGGUAACCUGCCCAUCAGAUGGGGAUAACCCUUGCAACCAGGUGCUAAUACCGUAUACUGAUGGCUGGACCCGCGGUGCAUUAGCUCGUGGGUGAGGUAACGGCUCACCAAGGACACGAUGCAUAGCCGACCUGAGAGGGUGAUCGGCCACAUUGGGACUGAGACACGGCCCAGACUCCUACGGGAGGCAGCAGUAGGGAAUCUUCGGCAAUGGACGAAAGUCUGACCGAGCAACGCCGCGUGAGUGAAGAAGGUUGUCGGAUCGUAAAACUCUGUUGUUAGAGAAGCGGUAUCUAACCAGAAAGCCACGGCUAACUACGGGCCAGCAGCCGCGGUAAUAC